CUGCAGCCCGAGUGGUGGUCGAUAUUAUUGAGCCUAAAGCGUCCGUAGCCGGACUAGUAAAUUCUUGGGUAAAUCGGGCAGCUUAACUGUUCGACUUCCGAGGAGACUGCUAGUCUUGGGACUGGGAGAGGUCAGAGGUACUCCAGGGGUAGGGGCUAAAUCCUGUAAUCCUUGGGGGACCACCAGUGGCGAAGGCGUCUGACUAGAACGGAUCCGACGGUAAGGGACGAAACCCUGGGGCGCAAACCGGAUUAGAUACCCGCGUAGUCC
RNAcentral lists this ribosomal RNA (270 nucleotides) under uncultured archaeon. RNAcentral describes it as "partial 16S ribosomal RNA". It matches the Rfam family "Archaeal small subunit ribosomal RNA", at positions 477 to 747 of the family's 1478-position model. The record is from RNAcentral.